Molecule: ribosomal RNA, 508 nt
Filed under: uncultured bacterium
Lineage: Bacteria
Description: partial 16S ribosomal RNA
Rfam family: Bacterial small subunit ribosomal RNA
Source: RNAcentral
GAUGAACGCUAGCUACAGGCUUAACACAUGCAAGUCGAGGGGAAACGACAUCGAAAGCUUGCUUUUGAUGGGCGUCGACCGGCGCACGGGUGAGUAACGCGUAUCCAACCUGCCCAUCACUUGGGGAUAACCUUGCGAAAGUAAGACUAAUACCCAAUGACGUCUCUAGAAGACAUCUGAAAGAGAUUAAAGAUUUAUCGGUGAUGGAUGGGGAUGCGUCUGAUUAGCUUGUUGGCGGGGUAACGGCCCACCAAGGCUACGAUCAGUAGGGGUUCAGGGAGGCAGGUCCCCCACAGUGGAACGGGGACACGGUCCAAACUCUUACGGGAGGCAGCAGUGAGGAAUAUUGGUAAAUGGACGUGAGGCGAAACCAGCCAAGUAGCGUGCAGGAAGACGGCCCUAUGGGUUGUAAACUGCUUUUAUAAGGGAAUAAAGUGAGUCUCGUGAGACUUUUUGCAUGUACCUUAUGAAUAAGGACCGGCUAAUUCCGUGCCAGCCGCCGCAGUAA